Tulasnella sp. 417 is the source of this 71-nucleotide non-coding RNA. The record is from the annotation of a GenBank genome assembly. Lineage: Eukaryota; Fungi; Basidiomycota; Agaricomycetes; Cantharellales; Tulasnellaceae.
AAGGUGUUAGCUGAGCGGUUUAGCGUAAUAUUUACACUAUUGAGACAGGAGUUCGAAUCUCCUACACCUUA